Molecule: ribosomal RNA, 476 nt
Filed under: uncultured Comamonadaceae bacterium
Lineage: Bacteria; Pseudomonadati; Pseudomonadota; Betaproteobacteria; Burkholderiales; Comamonadaceae
Description: bacterial SSU rRNA
Rfam family: Bacterial small subunit ribosomal RNA
Source: RNAcentral
AGAGUUUGAUCCUGGCUCAGAUUGAACGCUGGCGGAAUGCUUUACACAUGCAAGUCGAACGGCAGCACGGGGGCAACCCUGGUGGCGAGUGGCGAACGGGUGAGUAAUACAUCGGAACGUGCCCAGUCGUGGGGGAUAACGUAGCGAAAGUUACGCUAAUACCGCAUACGAACUCUGGUUGAAAGCGGGGGAUCGCAAGACCUCGCGCGAUUGGAGCGGCCGAUGGCAGAUUAGGUAGUUGGUGGGGUAAAGGCUCACCAAGCCGACGAUCUGUAGCUGGUCUGAGAGGACGACCAGCCACACUGGGACUGAGACACGGCCCAGACUCCUACGGGAGGCAGCAGUGGGGAAUUUUGGACAAUGGGCGCAAGCCUGAUCCAGCCAUUCCGCGUGCAGGAUGAAGGCCCUCGGGUUGUAAACUGCUUUUGUACGGAACGAAAAGGCCUGGGUUAAUACCUCGGGCUCAUGACGGUACC